This 484-nucleotide ribosomal RNA is filed under the name uncultured bacterium. RNAcentral's name for it is "partial 16S ribosomal RNA". It matches the Rfam family "Bacterial small subunit ribosomal RNA", at positions 30 to 507 of the family's 1533-position model. The record is from RNAcentral.
AUUGAACGCUGGCGGCAGGCCUAACACAUGCAAGUCGAGCGGAUGAAGGGAGCUUGCUCCUGGAUUCAGCGGCGGACGGGUGAGUAAUGCCUAGGAAUCUGCCUGGUAGUUGGGGAUAACGUCCGGAAACGGGCGCUAAUACCGCAUACGUCCUGAGGGAGAAAGGGGGGGAUCUUCGGACCUCACGCUAUCAGAUGAGCCUAGGUCGGAUUAGCUAGUUGGUGGGGUAAAGGCCUACCAAGGCGACGAUCCGUAACUGGUCUGAGAGGAUGAUCAGUCACACUGGAACUGAGACACGGUCCAGACUCCUACGGGAGGCAGCAGUGGGGAAUAUUGGACAAUGGGCGAAAGCCUGAUCCAGCCAUGCCGCGUGUGUGAAGAAGGUCUUCGGAUUGUAAAGCACUUUAAGUUGGGAGGAAGGGCAGUAAGUUAAUACCUUGCUGUUUUGACGUUACCAACAGAAUAAGCACCGGCUAACUUCGUG